GAGGGGUCAGAGUUUGCUGCCCUGAGCCACCUCCAGGCUGACUGCAACCCACCCUCCUCAUGCUGUGGGGGGCCCUGGGCCGGCCGCUGUGCCUCAGUUUCCCCUGCAGAAAGACGGUGCCGUGGGAACUACCUCUGCAGGCCAGGAGGGCUGGGCUCCUGUGUGUCAACUGACCGCUGGCGGGACCCACUGGGUGCUCGGGGAUCAGCCGGAGGUCAGUGAAGACACUGACUUAGAAAGGUCCUGGGACGG
RNAcentral lists this long non-coding RNA (252 nucleotides) under Ictidomys tridecemlineatus (thirteen-lined ground squirrel). RNAcentral's name for it is "lncRNA (ENSSTOG00000031452.1)". Lineage: Eukaryota; Metazoa; Chordata; Mammalia; Rodentia; Sciuridae. The record is from RNAcentral.